AUGCUGGAGGGCAUCCAAGAAGUCUUCGGUGACAAGGUGCUCGUGGAUCGGCUCGACAGCCGCACCCUGGAGCGCGACCACACCAAGAUGUUUGCGUGCUGGGUGUGGGUUUGGGACAUGUCAUUCAUCCCCACCCGUCACACGUACUGGAAGCUGCCCCAGGGAGCCGGUCGGGUGGAGGAGAUGGAGGGGUUCUCGCCGUCGGACCGCCGCGUCGCCCUCCCGCUCGGCGCGGACCGCUACGACUUGCUCAUCCACGUCGACCGCGUCGAGGAUUGGUCCCCCCGCUCCCCCAAGUCGUCGCACUCGGCUCAAAGCGGCCUACCCUCCUCCGGCUCCGACAGCGACGAUGAUCUGCCCCGUACCAUCAGUGGCACCUGGGUCAUGCACGUAGAGGACGGCCAGCCUUUGAGCCCCAUCGUCGUCAGCAGCACGUGCCCGUGGUCGACACGGGCUGCCGCGGCCUCCCUGGUGGCGGCCCUCGCCGCGACCCCGACGGCAACGGUGGGGGCGGCGGCCGACGCUCCUGGAAGGACACUCUGUUGGGCCGGGGACACGGCCACGCUGCCCAGCGUGAUCGUGGCGGGGCCAUGA
Molecule: ribosomal RNA, 594 nt
Filed under: Triticum aestivum (bread wheat)
Lineage: Eukaryota; Viridiplantae; Streptophyta; Magnoliopsida; Poales; Poaceae
Description: partial small subunit ribosomal RNA
Source: RNAcentral